Molecule: ribosomal RNA, 519 nt
Filed under: Stenomantis novaeguineae
Lineage: Eukaryota; Metazoa; Arthropoda; Insecta; Mantodea; Liturgusidae
Description: partial 16S ribosomal RNA
Rfam family: Bacterial large subunit ribosomal RNA
Source: RNAcentral
GGUUUCUUGAUGUGUUUAAGAGAUUUAACCUGCCCACUGAAUAUAGUUUUGAAGGGCCGCAGUAUUUUGACUGUGCAAAGGUAGCAUAAUCAUUAGUCUUUUAAUUAGAGGCUGGAAUGAAUGGUUGGACGAGGUAAAUAUCUAUCUUAUAAUAAUUAAAUUUUGAAUUUAGAAGUUAAGUAAAAAUACUUAAAUAGUGUUGAGGGACGAGAAGACCCUAUAGAGUUUAAUAUAUUGAAUGUUAAUUGAGUUUAAUAAUGUAAUUUUUGGUUAAUACAUCAUAUGUAUUUGGUUGGGGUGACUAAAAGAUAAAAAUAACUCUUUUUUAUAAUAAAUAAUUUAAGUAAGUAAGAGAUCCACAAAUAGUGAUUUUAAGAUUAAAUUACCUUAGGGAUAACAGCAUAAUUCUUUUUGAGAGUUCUUAUCGAAAGAGGAGAUUGUGACCUCGAUGUUGGAUUAAGAUAAAUUUUAGGUGUAGAUGUUUAAUUAUUAGGUCUGUUCGACCUUUAAAUUCUUACA